RNAcentral lists this ribosomal RNA (256 nucleotides) under uncultured bacterium. RNAcentral describes it as "partial 16S ribosomal RNA". It matches the Rfam family "Bacterial small subunit ribosomal RNA", at positions 524 to 776 of the family's 1533-position model. The record is from RNAcentral.
UACGUAGGGUGCAAGCGUUGUCCGGAAUUAUUGGGCGUAAAGAGCUCGUAGGCGGUCUGUUGCGUCGGCUGUGAAAACCCGGGGCUCAACUCCGGGCCUGCAGCCGAUACGGGCAGACUAGAGUUCGGCAGGGGAGGACUGGAAUUCCAUGGUGUAGCGGUGGAAGUGCGCAGAUAUUAGGAGGAACACCGGUGGCGAAGGCGCCACUCUGGGCCGAAACUGACGCUGAGGAGCGAAAGCAUGGGUAGCAAACAGG